UCCGAUAUGGUGUAGCGGUAACAUAUGCGCCUCUCAAGUGUGGUUAUCACGUGACGUUAUGUCACGUGGUGCAAUAACGCGCGUGCCCGGGGUUCGACUCCCCGUGUCGGAA
Non-coding RNA from Mycena haematopus, 112 nucleotides. NCBI's taxonomy places the organism in Eukaryota, Fungi, Basidiomycota, Agaricomycetes, Agaricales, Mycenaceae. The record is from the annotation of a GenBank genome assembly.